CCUACGGGAGGCAGCAGUAGGGAAUCUUUCACAAUGGGCGAAAGCCUGAUGGAGCAACGCCGCGUGCAGGAUGACGGCCUUCGGGUUGGUAACUGCUUUUAUAAGCGAGAAAUAUGAUGGUAACUUAUGAAUAAGGAUCGUCUAACUACGUGCCAGCAGCCGCGGUCAUACGUAGGAUCCGAGCAUUAUCCGGAGUGACUGGGUGUAAAGAGUUGCGUAGGUGGCAUAAUAAGUAGCUAGUGAAAUCUGGUGGCUCAAACAUUCAGACUAUUAGCUAAACUGUUAAGCUCGAGACCGUUAGGGGUAACUGGAAUUCGUGGUGUAGGAGUGAAAUGCGUAGAUAUUAGAAAGAACUCCAAUAGCGUAGGCAGGUUACUGGGACGGUUCUGACACUAAGGCACGAAAGCGUAGGGAGCAAACGGGAUUAGAUACCCCUGUAGUC
This 442-nucleotide ribosomal RNA is filed under the name uncultured bacterium. Its description in RNAcentral is "partial 16S ribosomal RNA". It matches the Rfam family "Bacterial small subunit ribosomal RNA", at positions 338 to 795 of the family's 1533-position model. The record is from RNAcentral.